AAUUAGUAUAAAUGGGUAACAAAUGGAGGACUAGGAUGUUAUAUUUAAGGACGGUAUUAAUAACGAAAUCGGCAAGGAGAUACGAUGAAAGCUGAAUUUCCUAAAGGGAAACCAUAAAGGGGCGUCUGUCUCUUGAAUACCCUGGGAAUUGAAACAUCUUAGUACCAGGAGAAAAAAGAAAUCAAGCGAGAUUCCGUUAGUAGUGGCGAGCGAAAGCGGAUAUAGAUGUAAGAGAUCGGUAAAUCCAAAACCGAAGAGGGUGUCAGGCCUGUAGAUUAAUCGGUCGAGGGGUAACCAAGAGUAAAAUUAUUUGAAGAGAGGUAUACCACAUAUCUAAAACUAAAUAAUAAUAACAUACCUAUAGUUAAUUAGUACUGUGAAGGAAAGUUGAAAGAGAUGNUAGUGAAAUAGAACCUGAAAUUUGUUAACUUACAAGCAGACGAAAUCGUCGUACCUUUUGUAUAAUGGGUUCGCCAGAUAAAUAUUUGGCAAACUUAAGUUGAUAGACGUAGGUGAAGCGAAAGCGAGUUUUAAUAGAGCGUUAGUCAAAUAGAACCCGAAACUAAGUGAUCUAGCCAUGGACAGUUUGAAGUCUACCGAGUAGGUGGAUGGAGGAGCGAACCGGUGAAUGUGGCNAAAUUCUCGGAUGAUCUGUGGUUAGGGGUAAAAAGCCAAUCGAACUUGGUGAUAGCUGGUUUUCUGCGAAAACUAUUGAAGUAGUGCGUCAUAAUGAUAUUCUUACACGGUAAAGCACUGAAUGGGUUUAGGGGCUUAGGUUUACUAAAUUUAACCAAACUAUGAAUGUGUGGGAAGUAAUUAUGAUAGACAGACAAUGGGCGAAAAGGUUAAUUGUCAAAAGGGGAAUAACCAAGAUCAGAAGUUAAGAUCAUCAAAAUAAUCUAAGGGUAAAAGGAGAUUUAAGCUUAUAAAAGUGUUUAAAAUAAAGCCAAUGAGAAAGUAGGCUUUAAACCAGCCAUCUUUGAAAGAUUACGUAAUAGUUCACUCAAUAAAUUUUUAAACUUCAAAAAUUUAGGUGGCUUAAGUUAUAGAUUUUAAUGCGUAUCGAAACUCUGAAUUUAUAGUAGUAGCAGAACGUACUGUAAGUAGGCAGAUAGGUAUUUUAGAUAGCGAAAGCCAAUAUCAGUAGUGAUAAUGCGAACAUAAGUAACAAAACAGUGUGAGAAGCACUGCUCAUGGCCUAAGGUUUCCAAUUACAAGAUAAUCUGAAUUGGGUUAUACAGCCCCUUAGUGGCUUGAAGUCGAUGGGAUAUUAAAUAAAUAGUGACUAAGGCGCAAGGAAGCAUUUAUUUUAAAAAGGCNGUACUAAAACUAACACAAGUGGGCUUAAAAGUGAUGGUAUAAUUUAUUUUAAGGAACUCGGCAAAAUGUCUCUGUAAGUUCGCGAGAAAGGGAGUUGGGAUGAAGGUAGGGUAGUCUUGGGUGGCUGCUAAGGUGUAUCUUGGCCUCAGAAAAGAGGGGGUGUCNACUGUUUACCAAAAACAUAGCUUCCAGCAAAGAGCCAGGGGGCUUGAAGUAUUGGAGGUGAUGCCUGCCCAAUGAUUGUAUUUAAACCCAAGUAAUAAAAUAAGUUAAUUUGGUUAAGGACAAUUAAAUGGCCGCGGUAAAACUGACCGUGAUAAUGUAGCGCAAUCAAUAGCCAAUUAAUUGUUGGCAAGUAUGAAUGGCUUAACGAAUGCCCCACUGUCUCAAGAUAAAAACCAGUGAAAUUGAAUUUGUAGUGAAGAUGCUACAUUCAAAUUGUUAGACGAGAAGACCCUAUUGAGCUUUACUGGAGGCUUAUAUUGUUCUUUUUUAAUUAAUUGUGUAGAUUAUGUGGGAAGUCUGUGUUUAGCAGGGUAAAUGAAAAACCACUCUUUAAUAUUAAAAAGAACUAAAAUCGGAUGGUUAGAUUAAAAGAUGUAAGUCAGACAGUUUGGUUGGGGCGACUGCCUUCUAAAAAGUAACGAAGGUGUACAUAAGGUGAAUAAUAUAAUAGAAUAAAGUUUAAAGCCUGACAGCAAGGAGGACUUACCGAGCUGACACGGGAAGGGCUUGUGGGUUGUAUUGACCCGUUAAUUUAAGGUGGUAUAGUUAACGAGCAACGAAUAAAAGUUACCAUAGGGAUAACAGCGUAAUAUUGUUCGAGAGUUCAUAUCGACGACGAUGUUUGCGACCUCGAUGUUGAAUUGCGGUUUCCUAGAGGUGCAGCGGCUUCUAAGGGUUGGACUGUUCGUCCAUUAAAACCGUACAUGAUUUGAGUUCAGACCGGCGUGAGCCAGGUCGGUUUCUAUCUACAAUUUGAUUAAGAAACAUUAGAUAUAACUAUAUUCUAGUACGAAAGGACCGAAUAAUAGUUAUCCUCUGGUGAACCAAUUGCAUUAAUUGUUGUUGGGUAGCUACGAUAAUAAAAAUAAUCACUGCAAGCAUCUCAAGUGAGAAGUUAAAUAUUAAUCUAUGUUUCUAAAAACCGUUUGAGAAUAAAACGUUGAUAGGAUCUGUGUGCACCAGCGCAUGUGCGCUUUAAGUUAAAGAUUACUAAGGUUUUAUAUACUAAUUUU
Molecule: ribosomal RNA, 2558 nt
Filed under: Xestospongia muta (giant barrel sponge)
Lineage: Eukaryota; Metazoa; Porifera; Demospongiae; Haplosclerida; Petrosiidae
Description: large subunit ribosomal RNA
Rfam family: Bacterial large subunit ribosomal RNA
Source: RNAcentral